ACAACGCUGGCGGCGUGCUUAACACAUGCAAGUCGAACGGAGAAUUUAUUUCGGUAAAUUCUUAGUGGCGAACGGGUGAGUAACGCGUGGGCAACCUGCCCUUCAGAUGGGGACAACAUCCCGAAAGGGGUGCUAAUACCGAAUACGAUCACGCUGCCGCAUGGCGGUGUGAUGAAAAGAUGGCCUCUAUUUAUAAGCUAUCGCUGAAGGAUGGGCCUGCGUCUGAUUAGCUAGUUGGUGGGGUAACGGCCUACCAAGGCGAUGAUCAGUAGCCGGUCUGAGAGGAUGAACGGCCACAUUGGGACUGAGACACGGCCCAAACUCCUACGGGAGGCAGCAGGUGGGGAAUAUUCCGCAAUGGACGAAAGUCUGACGGAGCAACGCCGCGUGAGUGAUGAAGGUUUUCGGACUGUAAAGCUCUGUUGUUUAGGACGAAAGUGCCUGUUGCAAAUAGUUGCAGGUAUUGACGGUACUGAACGAGGAAGCCACGGCUAACUACGUG
RNAcentral lists this ribosomal RNA (502 nucleotides) under uncultured bacterium. RNAcentral's name for it is "bacterial SSU rRNA". It matches the Rfam family "Bacterial small subunit ribosomal RNA", at positions 32 to 507 of the family's 1533-position model. The record is from RNAcentral.